RNAcentral lists this ribosomal RNA (253 nucleotides) under uncultured bacterium. Its description in RNAcentral is "partial 16S ribosomal RNA". It matches the Rfam family "Bacterial small subunit ribosomal RNA", at positions 524 to 776 of the family's 1533-position model. The record is from RNAcentral.
GCCGAAGGAUGCAAGCGUUAUCCGGAUUCAUUGGGUUUAAAGGGUGCGUAGGCGGCCAGAUAAGUCAGUGGUGAAAUCCUGUUGCUUAACAACAGAACUGCCAUUGAUACUGUUUGGCUUGAGUAUAGUUGCUGUGGGCGGAAUAUGACAUGUAGUGGUGAAAUACAUAGAGAUGUCAUAGAACACCGAUUGCGAAGGCAGCUCACAAAACUAUAACUGACGCUGAGGCACGAAAGUGCGGGGAUCAAACAGG